This 497-nucleotide ribosomal RNA is filed under the name uncultured bacterium. Its description in RNAcentral is "partial 16S ribosomal RNA". It matches the Rfam family "Bacterial small subunit ribosomal RNA", at positions 28 to 507 of the family's 1533-position model. The record is from RNAcentral.
GAUGAACGCUGGCGGCGUGCCUAAUACAUGCCAGUCGAGCGAACAGACGAGGAGCUUGCUCCUCUGACGUUAGCGGCGGACGGGUGAGUAACACGUGGAUAACCUACCUAUAAGACUGGGAUAACUUCGGGAAACCGGAGCUAAUACCGGAUAAUAUAUUGAACCGCAUGGUUCAAUAGUGAAAGACGGUUUUGCUGUCACUUAUAGAUGGAUCCGCGCCGCAUUAGCUAGUUGGUAAGGUAACGGCUUACCAAGGCAACGAUGCGUAGCCGACCUGAGAGGGUGAUCGGCCACACUGGGACUGAGACGCGGUCCAGGGUCCUACGGGAGGCAGCAGUAGGGAAUCUUCCGCGAUGGGCGAAAGCCUGACGGAGCAACGCCGCGUGAGUGCUGAAGGUCUUCGGAUCGGAAAACUCUCUUAUUGGUGAAGAACAAAUGUGUAAGGAACGAUGCACGUCUUGACGGUACCUAAUCAGAAAGCCACGGCUAACUACGUG